GGAAAUGGCAAGUAUGCUGCAUUUUUGAAGGUUUACCAGAAUUUAUUCUAGCAAAGAGAGAAGAAAAAGGCUCUUUCAGACACAAUUUCUUUAUUGGGCGUAUGUUCAACAUCAUCAAGAAUACCGUCCAUCACAUAUGGUCAAACAGCACUUAUUGGUGCAAUGCUGAUAAAGUGAUGAGAGAGACAACGAGUAUCCUGCAUUCUUGGAGCAUGCAGACUGCAUGAGAAGAAUGAAGGGGAAAGUGGCAAGGCAGGCAGAACAAGCCUGAACGAAGACAGUGGAGAUAGUGGA
Long non-coding RNA from Choloepus didactylus (southern two-toed sloth), 294 nucleotides. RefSeq lists it as uncharacterized. The transcript is spliced from 3 exons. The record is from RefSeq and is a predicted model, not a curated record. Lineage: Eukaryota; Metazoa; Chordata; Mammalia; Pilosa; Megalonychidae.